UAUCAUUAACGUUAUACGGGCCUGGCACCCUCUAUGGGUAAAUGGCCUCAUUUAAGAAGGACUUAAAUCGUUAAUUUCUCAUACUAGAAUAUUGAUGUUCCAUACACUGCAUCUCACAUUUGCCGUAUAGACAAAGUACUUAGUCA
Molecule: ribosomal RNA, 146 nt
Filed under: Drosophila falleni
Lineage: Eukaryota; Metazoa; Arthropoda; Insecta; Diptera; Drosophilidae
Description: partial 28S ribosomal RNA
Source: RNAcentral